GAUGAAGCGGAGGCCAGGUACAGAGCACACACUGGAAUCAGCUCAGUGUAGAGAGUAUGUGCUAUACUGACCUUUCUAUAGCAUCUGCAGUGGGAGUCACAGAGGAUGUAGAAUGUAGCAGGCUUUUCUCAAUCAAGUUGAAGUGAAAACCUCAGGAACACAAUUAAGAGGAAGAUGGAUGAUCCCAUGCCAUCAAACCAAGCUAAACUGCUUGUAUUUUUGCAGCAGGAGUGGCAUAAAGUUAUCCAAAAGCAGUGUGUAAGACUGAUGGAGGAAAACAUGCCAAGAUGAUAAAAACUGUGAUUAAAAACCAGGCUUAUUUCACCAACUAUUGAUUUCUGAACUCUUAAAACUUUAUGAAUAUGAACUUGUUUUCUUUGCAUUAUUAAAGUCUAUAAGCUCUG
This is a long non-coding RNA of Astyanax mexicanus (Mexican tetra), 404 nucleotides long. RefSeq lists it as uncharacterized. The transcript has 2 exons. NCBI's taxonomy places the organism in Eukaryota, Metazoa, Chordata, Actinopteri, Characiformes, Acestrorhamphidae. The record is from RefSeq and is a predicted model, not a curated record.